GACCCUACUUGGCAGGGGAUAUACCAUGAUCAUGAAGGUGGUUCACCCAGGGUGAGGCCUAACCAUUGCAUUGCAGCUGUGCUGAUCCCUGCGAAUUCCCCAAAUGUGGGAAUCUCGACUGCAUAAUUUCUGGUAGUGGGGGGCUGCCUUCAGGCUCUCUCAUG
Brienomyrus brachyistius is the source of this 164-nucleotide small nuclear RNA. RefSeq annotates it as U1 spliceosomal RNA. The transcript has a single exon. Lineage: Eukaryota; Metazoa; Chordata; Actinopteri; Osteoglossiformes; Mormyridae. The record is from RefSeq and is a predicted model, not a curated record.